AUCCCUUUGUGGUUCAUAAGUGUGAUGACUGGGUGUUCAUGCUCUUGUGUGAGAUAUACUCCCUCAAACCUUGUUAGGAUGUUGACACAGUACCUCUCUGAUG
Pteronotus mesoamericanus is the source of this 103-nucleotide small nucleolar RNA. RefSeq annotates it as small nucleolar RNA U13. NCBI's taxonomy places the organism in Eukaryota, Metazoa, Chordata, Mammalia, Chiroptera, Mormoopidae. The transcript has a single exon. The record is from RefSeq and is a predicted model, not a curated record.